Trachymyrmex septentrionalis is the source of this 1137-nucleotide long non-coding RNA. RefSeq lists it as uncharacterized. The record is from RefSeq and is a predicted model, not a curated record. NCBI's taxonomy places the organism in Eukaryota, Metazoa, Arthropoda, Insecta, Hymenoptera, Formicidae. The transcript has 3 exons.
ACCAUACUGUCAUCUAGUUGUAAUUGGUUCGCAAACCUAUGUUUAUCGAAUUGUAUUUUUCGCUUUUGCGCUGUUUUAUAUAUUGUAAUUAAUUUUUUGCUUGUUUUAUCUUAAUAUUACAAGGUUCGUUAUUAAUCACGUUUGGUAAUAACGAGUGUACGUCUAUAUCUAAAUUAUCGUCGUAAUGAAGGUCAUCUGGCGCAUAACCUGUACUCGCGUGCGCUGUACAAUUAAUCGUUCUUUCUAAUCUAAAUAUAAUUUAAUCCCAUAAUUGGUGAUCAUGACUCGCAUAUGUUCUAACUAUUCUACCUAUCUCUCGCAUAACUCGUUCUACCGGAUUGCUUUGAGGAUUAUAUGGGCUUGUUUUUAUCUCAAAUUCGUUUUUACAAGCAAACCCUUUCCAUCAGUUUGUUCAUGGUAUAAUAAGUAAGAUGUACCAUUCCGAUGGAUGCGCACUGGAUUGAAAGUAGUGGGGAUCAUCAGCCAAUCAAGUUGUGACUAUUUUGCAGAAAUUCAAUAUGCGCUUACAGAGCGCUGAGUACCUCGUGUUGUCAAAACAAAUAAGACGUUUAUCAAUUUUGACAUUUAAUUGGCUUUUUUUAUUAUAUUUAGACAAUUUUGCAUGUAAUAUGCCAGUGUGCAUACAAAAUUGUAAAACGCGGACAGGCCGUGCUAAAGGAAGAAGUAAAAUUUGCUAUUUUCUUAAAGAGCCUAAUCUGAGAAAGAAGACUUGAGGCUUACAAACGCAAAGAAGAGCUGAAACAAACAUACAAUGUAGUAUGUGAGCGACAUUUUCUAGCGGACUGCAUAGAGGAAAAGUGGACAGAACAACGUUUGAAAAAUCAAUCACGAGUGAUUCGACGAUUAAAAGAAGAUGCAAUACCGACAGAAUAUUUGAAUAUUGAAACAGAAAGGAAACCAAGAAUUAGUAGAAGUUUCAGAUUCGUAUUUUGCAAUAUCUCCGCUCGUAGAACAUAUAGAGAAAAUAAAAAUACUCUCAUAAUAUAUCCCGAGCGGUUGCAAUCAUGAGCACACUUAGAACUUAAUCGAUUCAGCUCUUAUUGAGAUCCGAUAAUCUCAAUCUGGCGCAACUCGCCGGCUUGCGAAAAGUAGCCAUGGUAGUAUCGCUGCGCGUAG